AGAGUUUGAUCAUGGCUCAGAAUGAACGUUGGCGGCGUGGAUUAGGCAUGCAAGUCGAACGGGCCUGGCAACAGGCCAGUGGCGCAAGGGUGAGUAAGGCGACGGUAACCAACCCCAUGGUCGGGUAUAGCCGCGGGAAACUGCGGGUAAUCCCCAGCGAUGUACGAGGCCGGCAUCGGCGUGGUACCAAAGCUCCGGCGCCGUGGGACAGGCCGUUGUGGUAUUAGGUUGUUGGCGGGGUAACGGCCCACCAAGCCUCUGAUGCCUACCGGGCGUGCGAGCGUGGCCCGGCACACUGGGAUUGAGACACUGCCCAGACUCCUACGGGAGGCUGCAGUCGAGAAUCUUCGGCAAUGGGCGCAAGCCUGACCGAGCGACGCCGCGUGGAGGACGAAGGCCUUCGGGUUGUAAACUCCUGUCGAGGGGGAGGAAGGGGCAACCUUGACCGAUCCCUGGAGGAAGCACGGGCUAAGUUCGUGCCAGCAGCCGCGGUAAGACGAACCGUGCGAACGUUAUUCGGAAUCACUGGGCUUAAAGCGCGUGUAGGCGGAUGGGAACGUCGGUCUUUGAAAGCCCCCGGCUCAACCGGGGAAGCGGAGCCGAAACGACCGAUCUGGAGGGACGUAGGGGGACCUGGAACUUCCGGUGGAGCGGUGAAAUGCGUUGAGAUCGGAAGGAACGCCCGUGGCGAAAGCGAGGUCCUGGACGUCUGCUGACGCUGAGACGCGAAAGCUAGGGGAGCAAACGGGAUUAGAUACCCCGGUAGUCCUAGCCGUAAACGAUGGGCACUGGGUAGGGGGCUCGCCGAUGGGCUCUCUGCCGCAGCGAAAGCGUGAAGUGCCCCGCCUGGGGAGUAUGGUCGCAAGGCUGAAACUCAAAGGAAUUGACGG
This 890-nucleotide ribosomal RNA is filed under the name uncultured bacterium. RNAcentral describes it as "bacterial SSU rRNA". It matches the Rfam family "Bacterial small subunit ribosomal RNA", at positions 8 to 916 of the family's 1533-position model. The record is from RNAcentral.